UGAGCAAUCUGCCCUUCUCAUCGGAAUAAGCGUUGGAAACGACGUCUAAUGCCGAAUACGACCUCCUUUCGCAUGAUCGGAGGUGGAAAGCUCCGGCGGAGAAGGAUGAGCUCGCGGCCUAUCAGCUAGUUGGUGUGGGUAAUGGCCCACCAAGGCGACGACGGGUAGCCGGCCUGAGAGGGUGACCGGCCACACGUGGGACUGAGACACGGCCCAGACCUCCUACGGGAGCAG
This 234-nucleotide ribosomal RNA is filed under the name uncultured bacterium. RNAcentral describes it as "partial 16S ribosomal RNA". It matches the Rfam family "Bacterial small subunit ribosomal RNA", at positions 118 to 347 of the family's 1533-position model. The record is from RNAcentral.